UACGGAGGGUGCAAGCGUUAUCCGGAUUCACUGGGUUUAAAGGGUGCGUAGGUGGUCGGGUAAGUCUGAGGUGAAAUCUCCGAGCUCAACUCGGAAACUGCCUUGGAUACUAUCCGGCUUGAGGGUUGGAGGGGGGACUGGAAUUCUCGGUGUAGCAGUGAAAUGCGUAGAUAUCGAGAGGAACACCAGUGGCGAAGGCGAGUCCCUGGACAACUCCUGACGCUGAGGCACGAAAGCUAGGGGAGCAAACAGG
This 253-nucleotide ribosomal RNA is filed under the name uncultured bacterium. RNAcentral describes it as "partial 16S ribosomal RNA". It matches the Rfam family "Bacterial small subunit ribosomal RNA", at positions 524 to 776 of the family's 1533-position model. The record is from RNAcentral.